GUUAAGAUUGUCUAUUUUGGAUGC
Molecule: non-coding RNA, 24 nt
Filed under: Arabidopsis thaliana (thale cress)
Lineage: Eukaryota; Viridiplantae; Streptophyta; Magnoliopsida; Brassicales; Brassicaceae
Source: RNAcentral